UAGCACCACCAUCACACAUUUCACUCAUAGAUAAAGAUAAGACUCAUGGAACUAUCAUCCACGUGACAUCAUUUUAGUGGUUCAAACCGAUAAAGAUAUCACCACCUUUCCAUAGCAUUUGUGGUUGUUACCAUGCAAUUAAAAUUCACACAUAUCCACUCAAAAUCAAACGGUCUAAAUCCUAUUCUACUAAUCUCAUGUAUUUUCAACCCUCUGAUCACUCCGCGGCUUGUUUCCAUUGUUGAUACCAUUAUAUAUAGACGACCAAAGCACUAUACCCACAC
Molecule: long non-coding RNA, 284 nt
Filed under: Brassica napus (rape)
Lineage: Eukaryota; Viridiplantae; Streptophyta; Magnoliopsida; Brassicales; Brassicaceae
Description: long non-coding RNA (BNAP_LNC010941)
Source: RNAcentral